CCUACGAGUGGCAGCAGUGGGGAAUAUUGCACAAUGGGGGAAACCCUGAUGCAGCGACACCGCGUGAGUGAAGAAGUAAUUCGUUAUGUAAAGCUCUAUCAGCAGGGAAGAAAAUGACGGUACCUGAGUAAGAAUCCCCGGCUAACUACGUGCCAGCAGCCGCGGUAAUACGUAGGGGGCAAGCGUUAUCCGGAUUUACUGGGUGUAAAGGGAGCGUAGACGGAAGUGCAAGUCUGGAGUGAAAGGCGGGGGUUCAACCCCCGGAGUGGUCUGGAAACUGUACGGCUGGAGUGCAGGAGAGGUAAGUGGAACUCCUAGUGUAGCGGUGAAAUGAGUAGAUAUUAGGAGGAACACCAGUGGCGAAGGCAGCUUACUGGACUGUAACUGACGUUGAGGCUCGAAAGCGUGGGGAGCAAACAGGAUUAGAUACCCGUGUAGUC
This 440-nucleotide ribosomal RNA is filed under the name uncultured bacterium. RNAcentral's name for it is "partial 16S ribosomal RNA". It matches the Rfam family "Bacterial small subunit ribosomal RNA", at positions 338 to 795 of the family's 1533-position model. The record is from RNAcentral.